GAGAGCCAGAUUCUAAUCUCAGCUACAGAGGUGUAAAUCCAUAAUUAUGUCACUUAUUUACACCAAUGUAACUGAGAUCACAAUCUGAC
RNAcentral lists this microRNA precursor (89 nucleotides) under Pelodiscus sinensis (Chinese soft-shelled turtle). RNAcentral describes it as "miRNA (ENSPSIG00000019556.1)". The record is from RNAcentral. Lineage: Eukaryota; Metazoa; Chordata; Testudines; Trionychidae.